UUUUUUUUUUUUUUUUGUGCUAGUACUUUGCAUUUUGAUAUUGUCUUUAUAAUGUGAUUUUUAAUUAUUUUUCUCUAUAUAGGUGCAUGAAUGUAGCAUAUGGUUGCAAAUGAUGAAAAGAUAACUGGAAUUUUCAGUUGGUUUUAUUACCUGGUUUUAACCCCUGUAAGACAUUUUUAAUUUUAAAAAGCUUCAAUAAAAGCAUCCUGGAGAGAUUUCCUCUACAUUUAUUAUAAUUUAAUCCAUACUCAUCAAUGAGGAAAAGCUGCAGCUGGGGAGAAGUAAAUAAACACCUCCAGUAAUGAAAUCAAGACACACCUACAUGGUACACAAGGAAGGGGAAAAUCAGCAGAAUGGCAAGGAAUAGCUAAAGAAACUCCAUUAAAUACAGGUUUGUGUAAUUUUAAAGUAUUCCUCUCUCUUUUGAUGUUGUCAGCUAUUCUCACCUGGGACUUUUUCACCUUUGGAAGUUGAUUUUGAAAGGUGACUUGUGAUACUUCUGACAGUAUCAUAUUGGGUCAGCUUUGGUUUAGUUCAAUGCCCAUCUCCAGUACUGUUACCAUAAAUUCUGUUUAAUUAUGAGUGCAGUCUAAUUCCAGAUGAGGAAAGUGACUUUUUCCCUUGACCAGGACCUGUCUGGUUACUGGCCCUGGGUCAGUGUGAGCCAUGUCAGAGGAAGGGGAUGUGGUCACCAUGUCUCAAAGGCAGUGAAAGCAAAUUCCUCAUUCCAAAGAGGCACCUCUCAGCCUGCUGCCCAGGGAAAAGAGGUUUUGCCAUGUUCACACUACAUGUAACUUUUCCAGGACCUUUUGAACCUGGUGGUCAAUUCCAACAGAAUUAAUCAGGGGCAAGGUACAGAUCCCUGAGAUAAGCUCCAACUGCUUUUUGGAGAGAAGUGGCUGCAGAAAAGAGACCUGGUGGUGGCUUCAGUGAAGAAAAGUGGCAGUGAGAAUCUCCUUCUCACGGAGCAAUGGAGAACUGACACUGUGAAGGAACUUAAAACCAACUCCACUGGGGGGGAAAAAAUGCAGUUGGAGAUUUAUCUUCCCAGACAAACAUCACUCACCUGUUAAGACAAGCAUUCGUGGGAAACCGGCCUCCUUAAUUACAGCGUGGCAUAACUUGUGUGCUACACCUGAGCUCUGCAGCUGCAGCCUACCCUGCCACAUGGCAGAUUCUGAGCUGAUUUAAUUACAGACUUUUGCAAGAAAUCAUUCAGACCUACUCCAGGUCAGCUGAUGGCUUUUGAAGGCUCUUUUCACUAACAGUUUUUACAGGGACUGAAAAUGUCCCUGUAAAAUGUCCCUGAAAAUGUGCCUGUGAUCAAAACACUUUUCAUUUCAACCAAAACAUGUUUUCUACUGCCCAAAGUAUUAACAGUUUUCAGCUCACAGAACUUACCCACCUAAACAAUAUGGCAGUUUGUCAAAAACCUGGUAAACCUGCAAUAUUCUCUCUUACAAAAUACUAACAGCUCAUACUCAUCUUCAGUGUCAAUCUCAAACUUUUUAAGAGGGAGGGAAUUAAUAUCUGGGUUACAGAUCAAGCACCCAGGACUCAGUUACAAUUGGAAUCUGAGGAACAGGAUUUGGUGCUUUCUACAUCUGUGGGAUAACAGAACGCUGUCAAACCACUGAAAUUUCUUGUUCUUCUUCAUCGUGUACCUUUUACAUCAAAUUUUAAAUGAAAACACAAAGGCUCUUUGGAUAACUGAUAACUACUGCUCCAAAACAAAUUUUUGAACAACUUACUGUCCUGUGGCUCAUGCUGUGCAGACCGUAUGCAUAAACCGCAAGAAGACCCCAAGUGAAUAAAAUUUGAAAACCCCACAAAAUUUUAAGGAAUAAGUUUUCUAGUGCCCAACCCACACUCAGCUACUCCUUAGCAUUUUUUGAAUGCAAAACUGGUUAACUUAAACAUACACAAUCUUAACCAGCCUGUCCAGAAUUUGGCAGACAGGCAGCUGAAACACGUGCAGUGCUUUGGGAAAGGCUACCAGGGGCUGUAGGGCAUUUCCUCAUGUGAACACUCAGUGUCCUCUUGCUCUUUCCUGAUCAAAAAGUCCCUCUCCCAGCUCUGAACCAACUGAUCUGUUUUCAGACCAUUACCUUGCCAGUAAAUAAUUUCAGGUCUCAAGUGCAAAGUCUCUUCUGCUCGUAUGCCAAACAUUAUGGUUACGGACUUUUUGAUGAGAUGUUAGAUGUAUGUAUUUCAGAAUUAUUAAUUUAAUCCCACAAUCUAUAAGGAUCCACACUGGAUAAAUGGAUGAAAAUCAAAAAUGCUUGCUUAUGAAAGGGAAUGACUACUUUUGAAUGUGUGGCUGGAAUUUCUGAUCACAAACACACCUGUAAAUGCUCUGCUCGGAUUAUCAUGCUACUGGGUCCUGCUGGCAGACCAAUGCUCAUAUUUUCCUGAGCCCAUUCAAUCUGAAACAGAGUAACAGAACAGUUCUCAAUUGUUCCAGUAACUGCUGAUGCAGUGGCAUCUCUGCUGCAUUUGCUGGCUCACUAUGCAACUUUUUAUGAUCCAGAUCUACACCAAAAUCCUGCUUCAGACAGAUUCUCCUCAUGCAACUCAAACGGGAGGCAGCACCCGUGUUCACUCUUCCCCUGUACUGAGUGAGGACAGGUUUGAUAGAUCCACCUUCCUUCUUUUGAGCCUAGUGAAUGCUAGGGCUUCUCUAACAAGGCAUUCUUUGCUCAAGGAUGGGGAAAAAAACCAACCAAAAACAAACAUACAAACAUGAGUAAAUUCAGUCCAUCAGCUAAAAAAAGCAGCUGCUACCCUCCUUCCUGGAAGGCAGCAGGACCCCUCAAGUAAGCCAGAUGCCUCCUAGCAUUCCCUGGAUGCCAGGGAAUGGAUCACCUCUCUUCAGCAAAAGCUCAUUUUUUUUCUGUGUCUUCCAGCUUCCUUCCCAGGAUCACAACAAACCCCCAGCCUGUGCCCCAGGAUUUUGUCCUUUAGAAGAAAGCCACAUUUAUGUGCUGCCUAUUCCCAAAACCAACACAAAUGUCCAAUUAAUUUCUUAAAGUGUUUGCUCUAUUACAAUUUUUUGGCACAAAGGCCCCCUAUAUUACGCCUGGUAAACUUUUAUUCAGUUUAAACUGUCUCACCUAGGCAAUAUGGCCUGGUGUGACACCAAGCACUCGGCAUCCAGAGGAAGGCAACACUUCAGGUGAUGCUGCUGGAGCAGCCAAAGCAUUUGCCCCAGCUCAGGAAGAGAUCCACCACCAGCAAUUUUCUUCCUUGUCCACUUUUGAAUUGUUUUUUAUGUUAACUUCACACGACGGCUUCACAGACAACUCCACCUCAAAAUGAACACUCACCCAUAUUCCAAAAAUUCUUACUGAGUGACCUGUGUGGGACUCAGCCUUGUGGGCCUGCAAAAGGAAAAAAUGGGUGCCCACGUUGAGCUGUGUGAAAUUUAGAGAAUGGUUUAAAUGUAUCAGCUUUUUGUUUGCAGUCCAAAGAGCAGAUGGUGGUUUAAAUAUUUUUCAAAGGUUUGUAUGGGGUGGAGCACAGACCCACAGGAAUGUAUCUCACCCUUAAGACAGCACUGUGCAGUGAUGUAAUUAUUAGAUAUAAUUAAUUAGAUGUAAUUAAUUAGAUGUAAUUAAUUAGAUGUAAUUAUUUUCACUGUUUUUCU
This is a long non-coding RNA of Taeniopygia guttata (zebra finch), 3646 nucleotides long. NCBI's taxonomy places the organism in Eukaryota, Metazoa, Chordata, Aves, Passeriformes, Estrildidae. The record is from Ensembl.